RNAcentral lists this ribosomal RNA (208 nucleotides) under uncultured bacterium. RNAcentral's name for it is "partial 16S ribosomal RNA". It matches the Rfam family "Bacterial small subunit ribosomal RNA", at positions 568 to 774 of the family's 1533-position model. The record is from RNAcentral.
CGUGUAGGCGGUUUGUUAAGUCAUGUGUGAAAUCCCUCGGCUCAACCGGGGAACGACGCAUGAAACUGACAAGCUAGAGUACCAAAGAGGGGGGUGGAAUUCCCGGUGUAGCGGUGAAAUGCGUGGAUAUCGGGAGGAACACCUGUGGCGAAGGCGGCCCCCCUGGUUGGAUACUGACGCUGAGACGCGAAAGCGUGGGGAGCAAACA